Long non-coding RNA from Canis lupus familiaris (dog), 423 nucleotides. RefSeq lists it as uncharacterized. The transcript has 3 exons. NCBI's taxonomy places the organism in Eukaryota, Metazoa, Chordata, Mammalia, Carnivora, Canidae. The record is from RefSeq and is a predicted model, not a curated record.
CGAUGUCCCAGGGUGACGUGGGAGGCCCGGGGACGGAGCCCGCUGCACAGACGCUAGCCUCGGUGACUCACAUUUGGGCCCCGAGGGGAAGUUCCAUCUGGGAGUCCUUUGGAUGGCUCUUGUCCCCCGGGAGCCUCUGGGGCCUAAAGGCAGUGGCUGUGACAGCCCCGUGAAAGGAAGGACCCCGAGUCAAUGCCGCACUGGUACCGCUUACGAGGACGCUGCGGGGACCCAGCCGCCAGGCCACCACCCUACUGCGUGUCCCCAGGCCAUCGGUCUGCAAGUAGACACGGCCACGGGUAGGAAAGUGUCCCCAGCAGAGUCGACUGGAAAUGCGCUUGGGUUUGGGACAAAGAUGCAGCUCUCCAGUCACCCAAGCACCCCCAGCAGCUACAGAACACCUGACUCCUCCCCAGACCCACC